RNAcentral lists this ribosomal RNA (757 nucleotides) under uncultured bacterium. RNAcentral describes it as "bacterial SSU rRNA". It matches the Rfam family "Bacterial small subunit ribosomal RNA", at positions 748 to 1510 of the family's 1533-position model. The record is from RNAcentral.
CAUGCACGAAAGCGUGGGGAGCAAACAGGAUUAGAUANNNUNGUAGUCCACGCCCUAAACGAUGUCAACUAGCUGUUGGGGUUUUCGGACCUUAGUAGCGCAGCUAACGCGUGAAGUUGACCGCCUGGGGAGUACGGUCGCAAGAUUAAAACUCAAAGGAAUUGACGGGGACCCGCACAAGCGGUGGAUGAUGUGGAUUAAUUCGAUGCAACGCGAAAAACCUUACCUACCCUUGACAUGUCUGGAAUCCCGAAGAGAUUUGGGAGUGCUCGCAAGAGAACCGGAACACAGGUGCUGCAUGGCUGUCGUCAGCUCGUGUCGUGAGAUGUUGGGUUAAGUCCCGCAACGAGCGCAACCCUUGUCAUUAGUUGCUACGAAAGGGCACUCUAAUGAGACUGCCGGUGACAAACCGGAGGAAGGUGGGGAUGACGUCAAGUCCUCAUGGCCCUUAUGGGUAGGGCUUCACACGUCAUACAAUGGUCGGGACAGAGGGUCGCCAACCCGCGAGGGGGAGCCAAUCCCGGAAACCCGAUCGUAGUCCGGAUCGUAGUCUGCAGCUCGACUACGUGAAGUCGGAAUCGCUAGUAAUCGCGGAUCAGAAUGUCGCGGUGAAUACGUUCCCGGGUCUUGUACACACCGCCCGUCACACCAUGGGAGUGGGUUCUACCAGAAGUAGUUAGCCUAACUGUAAGGAGGGCGAUUACCACGGUAGGGUUCAUGACUGGGGUGAAGUCGUAACAAGGUAACCAAGGGCGAA